GAUGAACGCUGGCGGCGUGCCUAAUACAUGCAAGUCGAGCGAACAGACGAGGAGCUUGCUCUUCUGACGUUAGCGGCGGACGGGUGAGUUACACGUGGAUAACCUACCUAUAAGACUGUGAUCACUUCGGGAAACCGUAGCUAAUACCGGAUAAUUUAUUGAACCGCAUGGUUCAAUUGUGAAAUCCGGCUUUGCUGUUACUUAUAGAUUGAUCCGCGCCGCAUUAGCUAGUUGGUAUGGUAACGGCUUACCAAGGCGACGAUGCGUAGCCGACCUGAGAGGGUGAUCGGCCACACUGGAACUGAGACACGGUCCAGACUCCUACGGGAGGCAGCAGUAGGGAAUCUUCGGCAAAGGGCGAAAGCCUGACGGAGCAACGCCGCGUGAGUGAUGAAGGUCUUCGGAUCGUAAAGCUCUGUUAUUAGGGAAGAAAAAAUGGGUAAGUAACUAUGCACGUCAUGACGGUACCGAAUCAGAAAGCCACGGCUAACUACGUG
RNAcentral lists this ribosomal RNA (497 nucleotides) under uncultured bacterium. Its description in RNAcentral is "partial 16S ribosomal RNA". It matches the Rfam family "Bacterial small subunit ribosomal RNA", at positions 28 to 507 of the family's 1533-position model. The record is from RNAcentral.